GACGAACGCUGGCGGCGUGCCUAAUACAUGCAAGUUGAGCGCUGAAGAUUGGUACUUGUACCAACUUGAUGAGCAGCGAACGGGUGAGUAACGCGUGGGGAAUCUGCCUUUGAGCGGGGGACAACAUUUGGAAACGAAUGCUAAUACCGCAUAAAAACUUUAAACACAAGUUUUAAGUUUGAAAGAUGCAAUUGCAUCACUCAAAGAUGAUCCCGCGUUGUAUUAGCUAGUUGGUGAGGUAAAGGCUCACCAAGGCGAUGAUACAUAGCCGACCUGAGAGGGUGAUCGGCCACAUUGGGACUGAGACACGGCCCAAACUCCUACGGGAGGCAGCAGUAGGGAAUCUUCGGCAAUGGACGAAAGUCUGACCGAGCAACGCCGCGUGAGUGAAGAAGGUUUUCGGAUCGUAAAACUCUGUUGGUAGAGAAGAACGUUGGUGAGAGUGGAAAGCUCAUCAAGUGACGGUAACUACCCAGAAAGGGACGGCUAACUACGUG
Molecule: ribosomal RNA, 497 nt
Filed under: uncultured bacterium
Lineage: Bacteria
Description: partial 16S ribosomal RNA
Rfam family: Bacterial small subunit ribosomal RNA
Source: RNAcentral